Molecule: ribosomal RNA, 253 nt
Filed under: uncultured bacterium
Lineage: Bacteria
Description: partial 16S ribosomal RNA
Rfam family: Bacterial small subunit ribosomal RNA
Source: RNAcentral
UACAGAGGGGGCAAGCGUUGUUCGGAAUUACUGGGCGUAAAGGGCGCGUAGGCGGCCCGCUAAGUCGAACGUGAAAUCCCCGGGCUCAACCCGGGAACUGCGUCCGAUACUGGCAGGCUUGAAUCCGGGAGAGGGAUGCGGAAUUCCAGGUGUAGCGGUGAAAUGCGUAGAUAUCUGGAGGAACACCGGUGGCGAAGGCGGCAUCCUGGACAGGCAUUGACGCUGAGGCGCGAAAGCCAGGGGAGCAAACGGG